GCUUAGAAGCAAGUCACGGGUCCUAACUCACACUCAAGAGGAGGGAGCCACACAAAGCAAUGACCAUCAGGGGAAGAGAUUAGGGGUGCCACCUUAGAGUUUGCCACACGGUCUUCCUAAGAAAACCAAGAUCUAGAAUUUCUAGUAGAAUUUUCUUUUGUUCGUCUAAGAAUCAAUUGAUUCUUAAUUCUAAGCUUGAAGUGUAACUGCAUUUUUAUGGGCAAAACAAUCCUGGACCUGGCCAGUAACCCAACCAAACCAGGGGCAGAGGAGAUGCUGGUCAGCCAGAGGAUACAGGGGAAGAACAGAAAAGGCAUAACAAGAGGGAAGAAGAGGUGACUGGAGAAAGAGAGACAUAUUCACGCCACAGAAAGAAAACAAUAAAAAGUCAUCUGAUUUCCUCAUACUGAGUAGCUCCCCAUGUGAUUCGGGUGUUGUGGGUACUCAUGUCCUGGUGACUGUACCUCCCAGCUCAAGCUGCCAAUCACGGUAUUUUCCCUAAAAUGUUCCCUUCCCAAAAUGGAAACCUCAUGUUCGUUGUCAAGAUAAUAAAAGUUGCACAUUAGCGGCACAUUUAUAAUCUUGCUAAA
Molecule: long non-coding RNA, 590 nt
Organism: Homo sapiens (human)
Lineage: Eukaryota; Metazoa; Chordata; Mammalia; Primates; Hominidae
Source: Ensembl